GUAGGUGAACCUGCGGAAGGAUCAUUAACGAAUUCAUUUGGAGUUGUGCUGGUUCUUACAAGUGCACGCUCCUUACAAUUCCAUUCACACCCAUGUGCACUUUAAGAGACGUAUCUCCCCCGUUUACGUGCCUUUAUUGGCUCGGGAUUUCGUCUAUUUAACACACUCUUUGUAAUAGAAUGUCAAUUGGCUUAAUUGCCUAAAACUUUAAAUAUAACUUUCAACAACGGAUCUCUUGGUUCUC
RNAcentral lists this unclassified non-coding RNA (244 nucleotides) under rhizosphere metagenome. RNAcentral describes it as "partial ribosomal RNA internal transcribed spacer region". The record is from RNAcentral.